This 253-nucleotide ribosomal RNA is filed under the name uncultured bacterium. RNAcentral describes it as "partial 16S ribosomal RNA". It matches the Rfam family "Bacterial small subunit ribosomal RNA", at positions 524 to 776 of the family's 1533-position model. The record is from RNAcentral.
UACGAAGGUCCCGAGCGUUGUUCGGAAUCACUGGGCGUAAAGGGAGCGUAGGCGGCGUGGUAAGUCAGAUGUGAAAUCCCGGGGCUCAACCCCGGAACUGCAUCCGAUACUGCCGUGCUUGAGGGUUGGAGAGGUAGCUGGAAUUAUCGGUGUAGCAGUGAAAUGCGUGGAUAUCGAUAGGAACACCGGUGGCGAAGGCGGGUCUCUGGGCCGAUACUGACGCUGAGGAGCGAAAGCGUGGGGAGCGAACAGG